This is a long non-coding RNA of Equus caballus (horse), 1847 nucleotides long. RefSeq lists it as uncharacterized. The record is from RefSeq and is a predicted model, not a curated record. Lineage: Eukaryota; Metazoa; Chordata; Mammalia; Perissodactyla; Equidae.
CCCACGGCAGUCUCGCGGUGUUUCCUUCACCCGCGGGAGAUUUUUGAACGCUGGGGCGGUAACCGCGCCCUGGGCGCCCAGCGGCCGGCUGAUAGGAGGCUGAGGCGGUUCUGUGGAGACUCGGCCGGUGGUGGGUCCGGCUGCGGCGGCCGCACGCGGACGGGGCUCGUGCCCGCGGGGUCCCGGCGCCAUGGGGGUGGAGAAGAGGCUGCUGCCGAUUAAGGAGGCCUUUCAGCUGGCGCAGCAGCCGCACCAGAACCAGGCGAAGCUGGGAAAUAAUUGUGUUUAAUAACCAUAGGAGUCGUGUGUCUCGGAUAACAGUUCACUGAUUUUCAACAUAAAUCUGCAUCUGAUUAAAUAGGCUUAAGAUUCAAGGAUUUGUAGAAGAGCAAAAGAAUCUUUUGUGAUCAAAAUCUGUGUUGCCUUGCUCCAUGGGUUUGCCUUGCUCCAUGAGAGAAGUAACUCAAAAACAAGAGAGACGUAGGAUAAAAUACGAUUACGACUAGAAGCUGAUUUCUUAGAUAAUGCUGGCUUCAAUUAAAAAAAUUUAAGAAACAGUUUCAGGACUGAGGCAAAUAACAAUGAAAUUCGAUUUUUAUUAUGCCAGAUUCUAAAUAAGUUCUUGGGAAAUAUGCUGGAAAAUGCCCAGACUGAUAAUAUUUUGUAUAUAAAAUUAAUGAAGCCCUCCUUUUUAUACUGAAAGAUAAAAUUCCAAAUAUGAGAAUAUAGGCAAUCCUGGCUCUUUCGAGACUUAAGACCUCUAGGUAUGACUGCCGCAUGGUUAAAGGAAACCACUAUCCUGAAUUUUGUUACUCAUUGUUACUCAUUACCUUGCUUUUCUUUAGAGUUUACUUUAUUAUAAGGCUACCUAGAUAUAUCCCAAAAAUAUGCAAUGUAUCUUUGCCUUUUUUACCUUCAUAUAAAUGGAGUUAUAUUGCAUGUAUACUUUUGUAACUAAUUUUUUUCCAUUUAACAGUUUCUAAGAGUAAUCCAAAUUUAUGCAUGUAGCCAUAGUUCAUUCUUUUUCACUAGUAUAUAGUAUUUUGUUUUAGAAAUACAGCACACUAGAGUUAUCCAUUAUCUGUUUACUAUUGUCAGCUCAACUGUUAUCAGCAUUUUCAGAUGUGUGCAAAAGUUUCUCUGGCUAAUAUGCCUAGAGGUAGUGUUAUGGACUGAAUUGUGUUUCCUCAAAAUUCAUAUGUUGAGUCCAUAACUCACAAUACCUCAGAAUGUGACUGCGUUUGGAGAUAGGGCCUUUAAAGAAGUAAUUAAGUUAAAAUGAGGCCUAUAGGGGAAGCAGUAAUCCAAUCUGACUGGUAUCUUUAUAAGAAGAGGAAAUUAGGAUAUACAGAGACACACUGCACGUGUACAUGCAAAGAGGGAAGGCUGUGUGAGGAUGUCUGCAAGAGGACAUCUGUAAGCCAAGUGGAGGGGCCUCAGAAGAAACCAAGCCUGCCCACACCUUGCUCCUGGACUUCUGGCCUCCAAAACAGAAAAUAAAUUUCUGUUGUUUAAGUGACCAAGUCUACAGUAUUUUUGUUAUGGCAGCCCUAUCAAACUAAUAACAGUUAGAAUUGCUAGAUGGUAGAAUUAUGCACAUGUUCAACUUAAUUAGUAUUGCUGAUAUUUUUCUAAAGUGGUUGGGUCAAUUUACAAUCCUACUGGCAGUGUAUGAGAAAUCUUGUUCUACAUCCUUGCGCAAACCUGAUACUGUAAGACUUGACUUUUUCCAGUCUGGUUGGAGAGGAGUGGAAUCUGGUCGUUUUAGUUGCAUUUUCCUGAUAACUGAGAGUUAAAUAACUAUAUGUUUCUUGUUUCUAUAUCAAUAAAAUGACUAUUAUAUCUUU